This is a long non-coding RNA of Haliotis rufescens (red abalone), 226 nucleotides long. RefSeq lists it as uncharacterized. The record is from RefSeq and is a predicted model, not a curated record. The transcript has 2 exons. Lineage: Eukaryota; Metazoa; Mollusca; Gastropoda; Lepetellida; Haliotidae.
CAUAUGUAUCUCCUGCUACUCUGGUGUUAAUGGUGUCCUGUAACACAGGAGUAGCCUUCAGGUCCAGCACACCCUUAUACAGGACGUCUAUCUCACCCAGCUGUAGAUCGUCCAGUGCUCUACUCAGCUUGUCCGUGUCCUGUCUGAACAUGAUCCUGGCUAUUCUUCCCUUCUCCUUCACGUCUGUGACUCCGACAGCCUCCACAUCACCGGCCUCACAUCCCUG